GAUGAACGCUCGCUACAGGCUUAACACAUGCAAGUCGAGGGGAAACGGCAUUGAGUGCUUGCACUCUUUGGACGUCGACCGGCGCACGGGUGAGUAACGCGUAUCCAACCUUCCCAUUACUGUGGGAUAACCUGCCGAAAGGCAGACUAAUACCGCAUAGUCUUCGAUGACGGCAUCAGAUUUGAAGUAAAGAUUUAUCGGUAAUGGAUGGGGAUGCGUCUGAUUAGCUUGUUGGCGGGGUAACGGCCCACCAAGGCUACGAUCAGUAGGGGUUCUGAGAGGAAGGUCCCCCACAUUGGAACUGAGACACGGUCCAAACUACUACGGGAGGCAGCAGUGAGGAAUAUUGGUCAAUGGACGGAAGUCUGAACCAGCCAAGUAGCGUGCAGGAUGACGGCCCUAUGGGUUGUAAACUGCUUUUGUAUGGGGAUAAAGUUAGGGACGGGUCCCUAUUUGCAGGUACCAUACGAAUAAGGACCGGCUAAUUCCGUG
RNAcentral lists this ribosomal RNA (492 nucleotides) under uncultured bacterium. RNAcentral's name for it is "partial 16S ribosomal RNA". It matches the Rfam family "Bacterial small subunit ribosomal RNA", at positions 28 to 507 of the family's 1533-position model. The record is from RNAcentral.